CCUACGGGUGGCAGCAGUGGGGAAUAUUGCACAAUGGGGGAAACCCUGAUGCAGCGACGCCGCGUGAGUGAAGAAGUAAUUCGUUAUGUAAAGCUCUAUCAGCAGGGAAGAAAAUGACGGUACCUGAGUAAGAAGCCCCGGCUAACUACGUUCCAGCAGCCGCGGUAAUAAGUUGGGGGCAAGGGUUAUCCGGAUUUACUGGGUGUAAAGGGAGCGUAGACGGGAGUGCAAGUCUGGAGUGAAAGGCGGGGGCUCAACCCCCGGACUGCUCUUGAAACUGUACGGCUGGAGUGCAGGAGAGGUAAGUGGAAUUCCUGGUGUAGCGGUGAAAUGCGUAGAUAUUAGGAGGAACACCAGUGGCGAAGGCGGCUUACUGGACUGUAACUGACGUUGAGGCUCGAAAGCGUGGGGAGCAAACAGGAUUAGAUACCCCAGUAGUC
Molecule: ribosomal RNA, 440 nt
Filed under: uncultured bacterium
Lineage: Bacteria
Description: partial 16S ribosomal RNA
Rfam family: Bacterial small subunit ribosomal RNA
Source: RNAcentral